GACGAACGCUGGCGGCGUGCUCAACACAUGCAAGUCGAACGGGAUUUAGUAAACAGAAACCUCGGUGGAAGAUUACUAAUGAGAGUGGCGAACGGGUGAGUAACGCGUGAGCAACCUGCCUAUGACAGUGGGAUAGCCUCGGGAAACCGGGAUUAAUACCGCAUAAAAUCGUAGAAACACAUGUUUUAACGGUCAAAGAUUUAUCGGUCAUAGAUGGGCUCGCGUCUGAUUAGCUAGUUGGUGAGAUAACAGCCCACCAAGGCGACGAUCAGUAGCCGGUCUGAGAGGAUGAACGGCCACAUUGGAACUGAGACACGGUCCAAACUCCUACGGGAGGCAGCAGUGGGGAAUAUUGCACAAUGGGGGAAACCCUGAUGCAGCGACGCCGCGUGAACGAAGAAGGUAUUCGUAUCGUAAAGUUCUGUCCUAUGGGAAGAUAAUGACAGUACCAUAGAAGAAAGCUCCGGCUAAAUACGUG
RNAcentral lists this ribosomal RNA (478 nucleotides) under uncultured bacterium. RNAcentral's name for it is "partial 16S ribosomal RNA". It matches the Rfam family "Bacterial small subunit ribosomal RNA", at positions 28 to 507 of the family's 1533-position model. The record is from RNAcentral.